GCCUGAGUGGUGGAAUUGGUAGACACCCGGGAUUCAAAAUCCCGUGCCUUCACGGGCGUGCCGGUUCGACUCCGGCCUCAGGUACCA
Molecule: transfer RNA, 87 nt
Filed under: Mariprofundus sp. KV
Lineage: Bacteria; Pseudomonadati; Pseudomonadota; Candidatius Mariprofundia; Mariprofundales; Mariprofundaceae
Also listed under: 1 other name
Description: tRNA-Leu
Rfam family: tRNA
About the family: Transfer RNA (tRNA) molecules are approximately 80 nucleotides in length.
Source: RNAcentral